Molecule: unclassified non-coding RNA, 1610 nt
Filed under: Leishmania donovani
Lineage: Eukaryota; Euglenozoa; Kinetoplastea; Trypanosomatida; Trypanosomatidae
Description: gene:unknown
Source: RNAcentral
UCGGAACCUCUUUGCUUGUCCGCCCCUUCCGCUUCAUCAUCGGUGUGUUUGAUGCUGUCUCUCAUGGUGGCAUUCUGUUUCAGCGCGCGCCGCUUUAGUACUUGUUUCGGUGCUCGUGGACUCGACGUCACAACACACAACUGCGCGCACGCACGUCUGAAGGGGGAGAGGCAGCAGUUUUCACGCCCAAUGGUGCGUGCCGCAGUAGCGCAGUGAAGACUCCCUAAUCCCGGAAGCGCAUUUCGAAAUUCGGACGUCGCGGCGAGAGAGGAGGGAGCCGCAGCACAUCACUUUUGUUUCUUAGUGGGUGAGUGGCACGCCACCCAAAACGCCACGGUUUGACCCCUUCUCCUUUUCUUUUCGUAGCGUUUUCACUUUCCUCUCGUGUGAUUGAUGAGCCUCGGUGUCCUCGCAUCCACGCUCUUCACGAACUCGCGUAUCAUGCUUUACCAGCCUGAAAAUAGGUUUCCAUGGCGGCUCUCGUGCCGGUUCUCUCCAGCCUGACGAGGAAAGCAGGGAUUUCUUGUGGGCUUUCCGCAUCUGAGGCGGGCGUGAACGUGCCAAGCGUUUCUGUCGCUACGGAGUAAGCUGGCCGCAGAGCGGUGUGGCAAGCGAGCGGAGAGGGCUCAUCGAAGCAAUGGUGGUCGUGAUCGUGGCGGUCGUGGUGGUGUGUGUGAGGGGGGGGGAUGGAGGGUUGGGCGGAAAUAGGAGGGGGCGGGCAAACUGAUGGAGCCUCUGAUUUAUCAGGCAGCCACUGAUGUUUCGAGAAUGAAACAAGCAGAGACGCGCUGCUUCCAGAUAAAAACGAACAAAAAAAACACAAGGCACGCCACACAGUGCUACACCAAGCCGAACUUACCAUUCAGCAGCGCCGUUUCUCGCAACACUGCUUAGCGGUAACCGGCGGAGGGGUUGCUGAUGAAGGGACCUCAAGCUUGCUGGUCACACAAGUUCGCUCUGGAAUAAAUGCCCUUGCUAUUGUGCGUGGGAGACUCUGCACGGUUGAGUCGUUUGACGAGUGGCAUCCGCAAGAGAGACAUCAGCAACCACAAGCAGGUUGUCUUACAUCUGGCCGUAAUGCGCUGCAGGGAGCACUUGUUUCUCGUGGCAGGGCCUCGACCUGGGCCUGCUUUGCGAAGCAGUGGCGCGCAUCCUCAGAAAACACGCACGAGGCACUGCAGUUUCUACUGCGCUGCCCAUGUACAAUAAGAUUGAAGGGCGCGGAGUGGAAAGUAGUAACGAAAAGAACAACCACGAACUCGAUAGCCGGGAGCAUCACAGAGGGGCUUCAAGGAUAUCGCGCCUCCGCCUCCGCUCCCCCCCCUCCAGCGGAGAAGGUUUGAAUGCGUCUGCCUGCGCCUUUGUGGCUCUUCUGUCACGCAUAGCGACUGCUUCGAGAAUGGCCUGUCGUUCCCUCUUCGACUAAGCCGAUUUUGUUCUUCUUGGUAUGCUCUGCUGUAGAAAAAGAAAUAAAAAGCCAUGAGCUGGAAGCCACGCCCGAACUAAUAAUGCAGAGCUGUACUGUACAGGCAUAGACUCAAUUCGCUCGCUAUCUUUUGUUUUCUGUAGGUGUGUGUGUGUGUAUAGACGCCACUCUGCAUGCGCAGAUG